AGGAAAUUGUAACUUUUGGCCCAAAGGUUUGAAUAAUUAAAUUCGAACCUAUAGUUUUUUUUUAAUAUAAUUUUGGGACCACAAUUCCAUUUUUAUAUUAUUUUUCUCUCUUCCUCUCACGUUGCUCGGCGUUUUUCUCGCAAGGGGGAUUAUUUUCUUUUUCUUCAAAUUGUGUUGACAAAGAUAGUGGUGAAAGAAGAGUUGUGAAGGGGAACUUGUUAUUCAAGACACAAGGAGCGAGUCCGGCCGAGAAAGCACCAGAGGUGUAACUAUGGUGUAUGAGACACCAUCUUUUACGUUGCCUCUUAUUUUAGAUUAUACAAUGUAUCUUGUGCCAACUUAGGACAUAUCUUUUUGUGAAGCAUGUAAACUCUAAUCCUUUUUAUUAAAAGUAUUUAUAUGAC
This is a long non-coding RNA of Prosopis cineraria, 404 nucleotides long. RefSeq lists it as uncharacterized. The transcript is spliced from 3 exons. The record is from RefSeq and is a predicted model, not a curated record. NCBI's taxonomy places the organism in Eukaryota, Viridiplantae, Streptophyta, Magnoliopsida, Fabales, Fabaceae.